RNAcentral lists this ribosomal RNA (495 nucleotides) under uncultured bacterium. RNAcentral describes it as "partial 16S ribosomal RNA". It matches the Rfam family "Bacterial small subunit ribosomal RNA", at positions 28 to 507 of the family's 1533-position model. The record is from RNAcentral.
GACGAACGCUGGCGGCGUGCCUAAUACAUGCAAGUAGAACGCUGAAGGAGGAGCUUGCUCUUCUGGAUGAGUUGCGAACGGGUGAGUAACGCGUAGGUAACCUGCCUGGUAGCGGGGGAUAACUAUUGGAAACGAUAGCUAAUACCGCAUAACAGUAGAUGUUGCAUGACAUUUGCUUAAAAGGUGCAAUUGCAUCACUACCAGAUGGACCUGCGUUGUAUUAGCUAGUUGGUGGGGUAACGGCUCACCAAGGCGACGAUACAUAGCCGACCUGAGAGGGUGAUCGGCCACACUGGGACGGAGACACGGCCCAGACGCCUACGGGAGGCAGCAGUAGGGAAUCUUCGGCGAUGGACGGAAGUCUGACCGAGCAACGCCGCGUGAGUGAAGAAGGUUUUCGGAUCGUAAAGCUCUGUUGUAAGAGAAGAACGAGUGUGAGAGUGGAAAGUUCACACUGUGACGGUAUCUUACCAGAAAGGGACGGCUAACUACGUG